AAGAAAGUGGUCAUUCAGAAAUUCCACAUACUUUGCAGAGGUCAUCUUUACACCUUCGGGGACCCUAAAGGGGCCGACCAGCUCUCUUCCCAUGAUUCCGGCCCAAAACAUGACUCCACCACCGCCUUGCUGACGUCGCAGCCUUGUUGGAACAGGGUGGCUGUCCACCAACCAUCCACUACUCCAUCCAUCUGGAUCAUCCAGGGUUGCACAGCACUCAUCAGUG
Molecule: non-coding RNA, 226 nt
Organism: Pelobates cultripes (western spadefoot toad)
Lineage: Eukaryota; Metazoa; Chordata; Amphibia; Anura; Pelobatidae
Source: the annotation of a GenBank genome assembly